RNAcentral lists this ribosomal RNA (744 nucleotides) under uncultured bacterium. RNAcentral's name for it is "bacterial SSU rRNA". It matches the Rfam family "Bacterial small subunit ribosomal RNA", at positions 8 to 796 of the family's 1533-position model. The record is from RNAcentral.
AGAGUUUGAUCCUGGCUCAGAGCGAACGCUGGCGGCAGGCUUAACACAUGCAAGUCGAGCGGGCGUAGCAAUACGUCAGCGGCAGACGGGUGAGUAACGCGUGGGAACGUACCUUUUGGUUCGGAACAACACAGGGAAACUUGUGCUAAUACCGGAUAAGCCCUUACGGGGAAAGAUUUAUCGCCGAAAGAUCGGCCCGCGUCUGAUUAGCUAGUUGGUGAGGUAACGGCUCACCAAGGCGACGAUCAGUAGCUGGUCUGAGAGGAUGAUCAGCCACAUUGGGACUGAGACACGGCCCAAACUCCUACGGGAGGCAGCAGUGGGGAAUAUUGGACAAUGGGCGCAAGCCUGACCCAGCCAUGCCGCGUGAGUGAUGAAGGCCCUAGGGUUGUAAAGCUCUUUUGUGCGGGAAGAUAAUGACGGUACCGCAAGAAUAAGCCCCGGCUAACUUCGUGCCAGCAGCCGCGGUAAUACGAAGGGGGCUAGCGUUGCUCGGAAUCACUGGGCGUAAAGGGUGCGUAGGCGGGUCUUUAAGUCAGGGGUGAAAUCCUGGAGCUCAACUCCAGAACUGCCCUUGAUACUGAGGAUCUUGAGUUCGGGAGAGGUGAGUGGAACUGCGAGUGUAGAGGUGAAAUUCGUAGAUAUUCGCAAGAACACCAGUGGCGAAGGCGGCUCACUGGCCCGAUACUGACGCUGAGGCACGAAAGCGUGGGGAGCAAACAGGAUUAGAUACCCUGGUAGUCC